CCUUCGUUUUCAAUUCUCGAGCGUACCGUGGAGUGUCGAGCCGACCGCCGCGAGUCUAUGUAAUGUCGACAAGGAUGUUGACGUUUAAUUCAGCUCGUCGGAAGCAACGAAUACGCGCCGCGCGAGUCUCGUGAAUAAUGUCAACGGGUUCCUCGUAACUUGUCGCACGCGAUCGUGAUAAUGUUAUGCACCACAGGGUUCAUAUAAAUUUGUAGACUUGAUGAACGAACGAUCUUUGUACGCGCGAGGGCUUUGGCUCGAACUGUGACGCGCCAUAUUGGUUUAAGAGAAUUGUUCAUGUUAGUGGGCUUUCGGUGAAUCGGUUAUAUUGCAAAUGCACGUAGAAUAAAAUAGAGUAUCGACAAUGGAAGAGACUAAAAUCAUUUAUCACAUUGACGACGAGGAAACCCCUUACCUGGUGAAGCUCACUAUCUCACCGGAAAGGGUCACUCUAGCCGACUUUAAAAAUGUCUUAAAUCGGCCGAAUUAUAAGUAUUUCUUCAAAUCAAUGGACGAUGAUUUUGGUGUGGUGAAGGAAGAAAUUGUAGAUGAUGAUGCUCACCUUCCUUGUUUCAAUGGACGGGUUGUUUCUUGGCUGGUGUCUGCUGAAGGCAGUAAUGUAUCAGAUGGUGCAUCACAGUGCACAGAUUCAGUGGCACAUAGUGAAGCAAAACAUGAUCGUGUCGAUCAUGUGACACCAGGUCACACAAAUCGUGGUCCACCACCACUUUCACACGAUGACACUCUGACUGAAACUGAGAGUAUGAUAAGCAGUCAGCAAGGACAUCAUUUACAUAAAAGUUCAAGACAUCAUUCAGAUAAAUAUGAAAAAUAUAAUAAAUAUAAUGGGCUUCGUAUAAAUGGUCACUCAAAACAUAGAUCAGGCCAUGGUUAUGAGACUGCUUCUAUUUUAAGUUCAGAUUUAGAGACAACAACAUUUUUAGAAUCAGAUGACGAUGCGAGUAGCCGUAUAACGUCAACAACUGGCAGACACACCAACAUGAGUAGCACAGUUGAUAGAGCUACCUUAGAUCGACGUAGACCACAAAGAAGAAGGCGUCAUAGAUUACCACCUAUGUCUAGAACAUCGUCCUUCAGCAGUAUCACGGACAGUACAAUGUCUUUAAAUAUUAUAACAGUUUCAUUGAACAUGGAUACUGUUAACUUCCUUGGAAUUAGUAUUGUUGGUCAGAGUAAUAAAGGUGGAGAUGGGGGAAUCUAUGUUGGUUCCAUAAUGAAAGGGGGAGCAGUUGCUAUAGAUGGUCGAAUAGAACCUGGUGACAUGAUUCUUCAAGUAAACGAUAUUAACUUUGAGAAUAUGUCUAAUGAUGAGGCAGUUAAAGUAUUACGUGAAGUAGUUCAAAAACCAGGACCAAUCAAAUUAGUUGUUGCAAAGUGCUGGGAUCCUAAUCCAAAAGGUUAUUUCACAAUACCGCGUACAGAACCUGUACGGCCUAUAGAUCCCGGCGCUUGGGUAGCACAUACAGCUGCUAUAAGGGGUGAAGGCUUUCCUCCACGUCCACCAAGUGCUACGACAUUAACGUCAACGUCAAGUAGCCUUGCAAGUACAUUGCCAGACACAGAACGACCGUUAGAAGAACUUCACCUUACGGUCAAUACCGAUAUGCCAACUGUAGUACGAGCCAUGGCUCGGCCUGACUCAGGGUUGGAAAUUCGUGAUCGUAUGUGGCUUAAAAUAACAAUACCAAAUGCAUUCAUUGGGGCAGAUGUGGUGGAUUGGCUUCAUACUCACGUCGAAGGAUUUAUCGAUCGUCGCGACGCAAGGAAAUAUGCCUCUCUCAUGCUAAAAGCUGGCUUCAUUAGGCAUACAGUGAACAAAAUAACAUUUUCUGAACAAUGUUACUACAUAUUUGGUGAUUUAUGUUCAGCCAUGAGUAGCAUGAAACUAGAUUGCGAUACUGUUGGACCAUUACCUCCGCCAAAUGCCUGGGACAUGCCUUAUUCAGGGACAUACGCACCUCAUUCUGCAACUGGUUACAGUCCAAUGCCAUUUAACUUCACCAAUGAACCGACUGUGUAUGGUUAUCACCGCGAAGAAAGUGUUCACAGUGGUUCAGGAGGAAGUAGCGCAGUGCCAACUAUGCCAAGUAAGAAUUCCGGCAACGGGAAUGGUUCAAACGGAAAGAGGUCGAACGGUAGCCGCAGUCGUUCCAGCGGUUCUGAACAGUCUGUGCAGACAGGAACUGGUUCAGGAAAUCAACAAAAUCAACAAGACUUAUCUGGUAGUAGACAGUCAUUUCGCAUUGCGAUGGGAAAUCCUUGUGAAUUCUUUGUUGAUGUUAUGUAGAUGCCGGUGUUGUAAAUAGAUGAUUUAUAAAUUUGGACAGAAAAAAUCAAUCAAACAUAUAAAUUCAACAUUUGAAUGAAUACUUCGAAACGUUUUAAUGCGACAAUUUGUACAAGAUCUUGCAAGUGAAUAUUAGAUGUUCUCUUCAUUCUACUCUUAAUAUUACUGUUACAAUUUUUUUCCAUUAACACAUAUAUCAAAUUGUUAAUGUUGCAUGUCUUCUAUCGUUCAGAAUCGAUAUUUCAAAGUAUUUAUUCACUGCCCAAUUCAACUUGUUUUUCAGGUUUAUACCAUUCGCAAUAGAGAUUCCAAUAAUUUGUUUAUACAUGUCGAUUCAACUUUGCAUUCCACUUUGUAUUAUGUACUUGACAACAAUAACGUGUUUAAAGUCCGUUUUCUCAUUAAGUGUAUUUCGCAUUCGUGAAAAUAUUUGCAUGUAACGUGUACAUAUAUAUAUGCUAAUACAAUUCAAAAAGGUUGCAUCGGUGUAUAAGAUUUGAAUGCAACGAACAGUGAAGAAGGUAUCUUUAUACUAUAACGAUAAUGUAUAAUGUUAUUUAAAUCCGUUAGUUCUUUGUAGCAGUUCACUUUUUUUUUAUUAUUUAGUAAUAUGAAAUUUAACAAAGUUUACUUUCCCUUUAAAACAAUCAAAUAAGUGUUUUAUGCAAAGUCGUACAUUAAAACAAAUUUGAAACUGAAUCGUAUAUUUACACUUUCUCGUUAAAUAAAUGAAGCUGCUAUUUUUUGCAUGAGAUAUGCAACUGCUGUGUUGAAAUUUAGCAUACGUUCAGCAAAUCGAGACUGCUACAAUUAUUAUUGUACGGGAAACUCAGUAUUUAAUAUCAAUAAUAAUAAUACGUUAUUAUAUAUAUACACUAUAAUGCACGCUUUAUAAUAAAUAUAUUACGUUGUAAUUGUUUAUGUAAAGCACGAUCGCACAAGAUAGUAGAGCACAAGCAUGGUCAUGUAAAUAACACAGUUUACGUCGACGAAUUUAAGUAAUAAACUAUUGCAACAAUUCGCUAUGUAAUGCAUGUAAAUUAUACACAUUAUUUUAUUACGAAAGGUACGUAUCUUUAUUAAUAUUUUUCCAUUGCUUGCGUUCUAGGAUUGUCUACGACAAUGGGGCAGCUAUUUCUUUAAAAAUCGAGAGGAUAUUGUGUCGAAAAUAUUAAAUGAUUCACUAAUUAUUACUUUUUAGAAACGCACUUUCUAAGGGUAAUCUGCUAUAAACGAAAUAAAAAUAUUAUAUAUAUAUAUGUAAAUGUACAAACAAAAUAUACAAUUUUUUAUUGUAUAUUUGGGUAAUUAUUGGUGAAUCAUUUAAACAAUCUGGUCCAUGCGUAAAGGACGAAUUUUUUAUUGUAUUCCUACUAAUUCAAGUUUAUUAUUUGGUAAUGAAAGAGAUUGUUUACAAUUAUGUUAUGUGGUAUUGCAUCACAGGUUCGACAAUAUGUAAAUAGAACGAAUUAUGCUCAUAUUAAAUGUGCCAUCUUAUCAGUGUUAGAAAGUAUUGAAAAAAAAAUAAUAAACUGCGACGUAUAAUUUAUAUAUGUACUAGCUGUCUCAACAUGAUUGACUGCUGCGAAAAUUGCAGGUUCUUCAUAUUAAAACGAAACAAAAGUCCUUUACCAUUUUGUAAUAUACUUAAUACUAAAGUAGUUUUUGAUUUAUUUUAACACGAAAAGUCUGUAGUUUUCGCUGUGUACACUCGGGUGCAACAUGGACUUCCUUUGGAUUAUCACCAAUGUAAUGGGAGGAGUCUCCCAUCACUUUUAGAGAAUUAAACAUGUAAACUUGUAGAUUUUUAAGUUCUAAAAUCCCCAAAUUAGAUCCUAGAGUUCUCAAAUUUUCAAACGCGAAAAUUGGUAAACUUGAACAUUUUUACGACUGAUGGAUCCUCUUGCCUCUACAUCGCCAUGUUCCCUAGGAAAGUUUCCGGUGCUCCAAUCUUUUUGAGACAUCAUGUAUGUAAUACACGUGCUUUCCAGGUGUAUGCAUUUCUUAAUCGUUUAUGUUUCAUUGAUGUCAUCAUUAUUUACAAUACGAAUUAUCUUCUGCAUCUCACAUACACAAGCUUAUUUAAUUUCAACAAACUUUGUAACAUUUCAUUGCGUCUUGCCGUUGCGUUAUUAUCAUGUAAAUUUUUUAUUUAGCGUAUCUCGUAUCGAAACAACGUGCUCUUCUUUUCUCUCUUUGUUUUCUUUCUUAAAUGCCGCUAGAAGAUAUUUACAUUCGAUGCACUGAAGUGCGUUCGCGACGUUAAUAUAAGACUAGAUAUUUCAAAUAUGGUAUAAUGUUUGUUUCGAACGUUUCUCCUUUUUAUAUCGAUUUUACUAUAUUUCUAUAUUUACACGAAUGACCAUUUCCAUUACUUUCUAAAUAUUUAUCGAAUACGUAGAGAAUAUUAUUCGUAACAUGGAACCAUGUUUGAAACUUUCGUGCAAUUUUCCAAAAUGUAUAGUAACCCUUUUAUAUCGUCUUUUUUUUCGUAUAAUCAAACACUGGACAUUUUGCUAGGAGAAUAACAAUGUAUAGUAGAAAGUUUUCGUUGGUAUGAAAUAAAAAAUUUCCUUGGAAAAUUGCACGCUGUAAUCAUUAAUUUCAACGAGUGUAUUUCGUUUCACCACCGAUUAUGUAAUUCGAUAUUUAAGAGGGUAAUUAACACAAAAUUAAGGUACCGACUAUUAUAUAAUUAUUCUGUAAAAUAUAUACAUAUUUUAUGUUGCAGACAGGCUGUACAGUAUGUCUGAGAAACGCAAAAUUGUAAAAACAACGAUGUUUCAUUAAACGAUAACCGAGAAAGGAGGAAGUGAAAUGCAUACAAAUUUUGUGACUCACAGACAUACUAUCAAAUUUGGUUGAUUUUAUUUUCUAUUUAUUGUGCCGCUCUAAAAGGACUUGCUGCUUUCUGUCAUAACAUACAAAACGACUCAAUUCCCUUUGCAACUAACGUUGCGCGUUAAAUGGAUUACAUCAAUGUCAGAGACGUAAUCGGGUCAUUUUUGUGCCUUGUGCUGCGCUGACGGUCGACGCAGAACGGCGUAUGCACGAGGAAACUCGUACUAACGAUUUGGACAACAAUAGCAGAGGCAAUAUCUAUGAAGAGGACAUUUUGGAGUACCAGUUUCUGCACAAGUGAAGAUGCUCGUUAGCGGGAUACGUAUACGUAAUGGUCGUAAUAGAGGAGUUGAGAACAAGAAAUUAAGGUAUAAUUUUCACUCGACCUUAAUUAGUCGGACGGAUAUUAGUACUGGCGAAACAUAUAUAUAAAUAUAUAUAUUUAUAUAUAUAUUUAAUAGGCCAAUUUUGAUAAUGCGUCAUAGAGGAUGAACAAGGAUCCAACCUCUCCGUAUAAUUUGUAACGGUUAUACAUAAAAAUAGAAUUAAGGUCAUCGAAUUUCUACCGUGGUAUUUCAAAUAUCACGCACGAGAAUUAUAUAUGUUUAUAACGCGAUCCGCAACAACAAAGAAAGAAAAAAUGUCUCGAGUAACGAUGGCGGGUUAAGCGUGUUUUCUUUAAAGCAGGGUGCAUGCAAGAUCGAGGACACUCGAUACCGCGAAUUGUUUUAUAAAAUUAUAGCUGCACUUGUUCUUUCCUUUUUCGCCUUCGAACGAGGAUAUCUUUUAUUACUCCUCGUCAUAUAUAUAUUAUAUUUUUCGUAUGUUGUUUCUCCUGAAAAA
RNAcentral lists this unclassified non-coding RNA (5992 nucleotides) under Megachile rotundata (alfalfa leafcutting bee). RNAcentral describes it as "segment polarity protein dishevelled homolog DVL-3, transcript variant X3". The record is from RNAcentral. Lineage: Eukaryota; Metazoa; Arthropoda; Insecta; Hymenoptera; Megachilidae.